GACGAACGCUGGCGGCGUGCUUAACACAUGCAAGUCGAGCGGUAAGGCCCUUUCGGGGGUACACGAGCGGCGAACGGGUGAGUAACACGUGGGUGACCUGCCCUCAGCUCUGGGAUAAGCCUGGGAAACUGGGUCUAAUACUGGAUAUGACUCCACGGUGCAUGUCGUGGGGUGGAAAGCCUUGUGCGGCGUGAGGAUGGGCCCGCGGCCUAUCAGCUUGGUUGGUGGGGUGANGGCCUACCAAGGCGACGACGGGUAGCCGGCCU
RNAcentral lists this ribosomal RNA (266 nucleotides) under uncultured bacterium. RNAcentral describes it as "partial 16S ribosomal RNA". It matches the Rfam family "Bacterial small subunit ribosomal RNA", at positions 28 to 293 of the family's 1533-position model. The record is from RNAcentral.